Molecule: long non-coding RNA, 1779 nt
Organism: Cuculus canorus (common cuckoo)
Lineage: Eukaryota; Metazoa; Chordata; Aves; Cuculiformes; Cuculidae
Exons: 3
Source: RefSeq, a predicted model, not a curated record
AGGUGCCACGCGGGCUGCCUUUGGAACGGGAAGAGCAUUUGAGAUAAAGAGAAACGUGUCGACUGCAGGAUCGUAUCGGGCAGCAGAUGUGACUUGAGCUGCUUCUGCCAAGCAUGGCUCAGGCUCUCGGACCUCUGAAAGCUAGAUGCAGGAGGGCAACCUGUGUGCCAAAUGGUGAUUGCUAGGCAAGGAGAAUGCAAGCAUCAGAUGCACGCAAGCAAGCCAGCCCUCGGUGCACGCAACCCAGCAUUUGUGUGCAGGCUAGGCCUUGGUGCGUGCACUUGAAACAAGGACUUGGUGCAAGCAAGCCGACCCUUGGUGCAUACUCUUAAAGCAAGGACUUGAUGCAAGGGCUUAGUGCGGCCACGUAAUCACUCGAUGCCAGCUCUUGCCAGCCAGAAGUUAAUGCAGGCAUGAAAGCAAGGCAGCCAGACGGUCUUUAGUGGGUGUACUUGAUGUCAGCUAGCCCUUGGUGCGUGCAUACAAGCAAGCAGUUGCUGCCAAGACUGGAUGCCAGCCAGCGAGGACUUGGUGCGAGGACUCGGUGCACGCCUGUCAAGCGAGGACUUGGUGCGUGUACUUGAUGCCUGCCUGCCAGCUAGUCCUUGGCUCAUGCCCCUGAAGCAGUGAGGACUUGGCUCCUGGCCUGUGGUGUAUGAAUUGUGUAUGCAAACCAGUCGUCAGUGUUCACAUGCAAGCAAGGACGUGAUGGAAGAAGUUGGUGCAAGCAAGGACGUGAUGGAAGAAGUUGGUGCAAGCAAGGACGUGAUGGAAGAAGUUGGUGCAAGCAAGGACGUGAUGCAAGCCUGGCCUUAGUGCAUGCAUGCAAGAAUGUCCUUGAUGCCUGUCAGCAUGGAUGGAAGCAAUUAUUUCACUUGUGCAGGCAAGGCCUUGAUGUGUUUAUGCAAGCAAGCUAGCGAUGGAAGAACUUGAUGCAAGCCCUAGGUGCAAGCAAGGACUCGAAGCAAGGCCUUGAUGCGUGCAUGCAAGCCAGCCCCAGGUGGAAGCAAAGACUUGAAGCAAGAAGGCCCUUGGUGACUAAAAGGAAGCGCUUCACCUCUGUGCAAGCAUUUGUGUCUGAAUGCGUCUAGGGGGGAAUGUGAGCGUGUGUGUAGGCGGAUCAGUGUCUGAGGCUGUAGAGGUGGGAGUCGUUUAUUAUUGUGCUCUUUGAGGUUGUAUGUGAAGUAGAAUGUCUUGCCAUGCAGGCAGUGAGCACAAAGAAAUAGAACAUGGAAUUAACAAUUUUUUUUUCCCUGGGUCCCGGCCAGUCUGCGAGGCGAUGAUCAUGGCCAAGGUUUGGGCGCAGGCCGAGCUGGGACUGGGUUUUUUUGAGGCAAGGCCAAGUUUUGAGGCGCCUGGGAACACAGUUCCUAGGGAGGCGUGCAGCCUCGGGGUGAUGGCUUGUUGUGGCUGGCAGGGGGUGGCACGCAUGGGCUGGGAGGGAGGAGCGGUUUAUGUGGUAGGGAUUGCCUGUGUGGUUGGGGGGUGGUGGGGUUGCUUCUGAGGUUGUCUGUGUAGUGUUUUGCUUUGCAGGUACUGAGUUGGUUUUUUUGUUUUUGUUUUUUAAAAAAAAAUAGAAUAAAAAAACCCCAGCUGGGGGAUUUUUUUUUUUUUCCCCCAGCUGGGUUUUUUUUCCCUGGUCCCGGCCGGUCUGCGAGGCGAUGAUCAUCGCCAAGGUUUGGGCGCAGGCCGAGCUGGGACUGGGUUUUCUUGAGGCAGGGCCAAAUUUUGAGGCGCCUGGGAACACAGUUCCUAGGGAGCCGUGCAGCCUAGGGGUGA